Molecule: ribosomal RNA, 301 nt
Filed under: uncultured bacterium
Lineage: Bacteria
Description: partial 16S ribosomal RNA
Rfam family: Bacterial small subunit ribosomal RNA
Source: RNAcentral
CAGUCGCCACGGGAAUACGGAGGGGGCUAGCGUUGUUCGGAAUUACUGGGCGUAAAGCGUACGUAGGCGGCUUUGUAAGUUAGAGGUGAAAGCCUGGUGCUCAACACCAGAACUGCCUUUAAGACUGCAUCGCUUGAACGUCGGAGAGGUGAGUGGAAUUCCGAGUGUAGAGGUGAAAUUCGUAGAUAUUCGGAAGAACACCAGUGGCGAAGGCGGCUCACUGGACGACUGUUGACGCUGAGGUACGAAAGCGUGGGGAGCAAACAGGAUUAGAUACCCCUGUAGUCCCUGUCUCUUAUAC